CCUACGGGGGGCAGCAGUGAGGAAUAUUGGUCAAUGGUCGGGAGACUGAACCAGCCAAGCCGCGUGAGGGAUGAAGGUACAGAGUAUCGUAAACCUCUUUUGUCAGGGAACAAAGGCGGGGACGCGUCCCCGGUUGAGUGUACCUGAAGAAAAAGCAUCGGCUAACUCCGUGCCAGCAGCCGCGGUAAUACGGAGGAUGCGAGCGUUAUCCGGAUUUAUUGGGUUUAAAGGGGCGGCAGGCGGUCUGUCAAGUCAGCGGGCAACGCCCGGGGCUCAACCCCGGCCCUCCGUUGAAACUGGCAGUCUCGAGUUGGAGAGAAGUAGGCGGAAUGCGCGGUGUAGCGGUGAAAUGCAUAGAUAUCGCGCAGAACUCCGAUUGCGAAGGCAGCAUGCCGGCUCCACACUGACGCUGAGGCACGAAAGCGUGGGUAUCGAACAGGAUUAGAUACCCCAGUAGUC
RNAcentral lists this ribosomal RNA (459 nucleotides) under uncultured bacterium. RNAcentral's name for it is "partial 16S ribosomal RNA". It matches the Rfam family "Bacterial small subunit ribosomal RNA", at positions 338 to 795 of the family's 1533-position model. The record is from RNAcentral.